RNAcentral lists this ribosomal RNA (93 nucleotides) under Neobacillus drentensis. The record is from RNAcentral. Lineage: Bacteria; Bacillati; Bacillota; Bacilli; Caryophanales; Bacillaceae.
ACACCCGUUCCCAUACCGAACACGGAAGUUAAGCUUCUCAGCGCCAAUGGUAGUUGGGACACGCGUCCCUGUGAGAGUAGGACGUUGCCAGGC